Molecule: long non-coding RNA, 330 nt
Organism: Phodopus roborovskii (desert hamster)
Lineage: Eukaryota; Metazoa; Chordata; Mammalia; Rodentia; Cricetidae
Exons: 3
Source: RefSeq, a predicted model, not a curated record
GUGGCUGCACCAUCCACAGCCUGCCCUGUGUGCUCAGAGGGCCCCCACCAUCCCCAGCUCUCCCCCUGCACUGACAUGUUCCUCACUCUUCUCCCUGCACUUAGCUGCUGCUCUCCUGGCUGGAUCAAGUGCAGGCUAGAAAGCCUUCAACUAUUUGAAGCAAGAUGAGGGGAACUGUUUAAAGGAUAUUGGACAACUAAUAACAGCUCCAAUAUGGCUGUAACAUUUUGAAUUCAAAGGCAGGUAGAAUGUGGAAGGUCCAUCCUGAGAGUAUAUCCAGGCAACACAGAGGGAUCCUGGAAGUGCAAAUAAUGCUUAAAAACAAAGGAG